This is a long non-coding RNA of Helianthus annuus (common sunflower), 1835 nucleotides long. RefSeq lists it as uncharacterized. The transcript is spliced from 2 exons. The record is from RefSeq and is a predicted model, not a curated record. NCBI's taxonomy places the organism in Eukaryota, Viridiplantae, Streptophyta, Magnoliopsida, Asterales, Asteraceae.
UCCCCUUACAAUCCUCAUCUCUCUCAUCUCCUCCUCUUUUUAACCAAUUAACCCUGCUCUCUUUCCUUCUCUGACCUCCACCACCACCAUCACAACCAUUACCACUAACCACCAUUUUCGUCACACUACCACCGACCCCAAACAACCACCAUAAGAAAAUCAACCUCUUCACCACCGCCGUCAGAAACGACGCAGGCGACGGGAUUGGGUGGUCGGCGACGGGAUUUGAGUGCCAAUCCAUCGAAUCGAUCUCAUCCUCUACCUCUAGAUCCGAGUUAAGCACGUGAUAGGAUUUGAUGGUCGGCGGUCGUUGAAAACCCUAGAUCUGAUUUCAGGUUCAAUCUAUCCCUAGUAUCUCUCGAUUGCAUCCUCUACCUCUAGAUCUGAUCCAUAAUCAAGAGCAAACGAACAGAUCUGAUUAAGGAGAUUAUUAAGGAGUUUGAACUUGUUUGCAACAAAUUAAUUGAAACUUAACUUGUCGUGUCAUCGAUUGCAAAACAGGUGCAGAAAAUCAUCGGAGCGAAGAACGGGCUGGUGAAGACGGCAGAAAACGAUGUAACGGGUGGUGGGUGAUGUAAUGUUUUUUAGAUCUGAGCUAUUGAGGAAAUUUAGUUGGUUUACGUAAACACACUCUAUUCGAUCCAUCAAGAAGCAUACAAGGUGAUGGUAGUGUAUUGUUAUACAAUAGUGUUGACGGGUCAUCACCAAAUGACCAUCCUGUUUGGACAUGUAUUAAAGAUUAUUCGUUUUGACCCGUUACUCGCUCGACCUUUUUGCCUUCAUUUAUGGAUAACGUGGAUAUGUCUCAUACCUUUUUUGUAUAAAUAGUUAAUGUAAUAAAUAGUUUUGAAAGAUGUAUAUUUAAGUAAAAUAAAAGUGUGGCGAUACUCAUCUAAGAUUGGAAAAAGCUACGACUCGCGGGUAUAUGUUAACCGAGCCUACUUGAGAACUUUGGUAUGGGCUUCACACCAAAUGCAAGUGAUGUUGCGUACGUCUGUUUCUACAAUUUGUAUGAUGUUUAGAUUUGGUACUUAUAGAAUAACAUGUUUCUUUAUCAACUAGGCACUUUUAUCGUCACAUAUGGACUUAUGGUCAAGGAUUUGUAAAGCAGUUUCAACAUGACAAAUGGACUACUGCUCAAGGCUUUGUCACCUAUCAAUUCUGUACCAAUCUGGUAUCUUUUGGCGUUUUAGGGAUCCAUACUUUCGGUUCAGUACGGUAUGUUACCUUACUCACUUUUUAUCUUCGAAUACCGUACCAUGCAAUUUUGGUAUCGGUGCAUCUCUACUGCUACUACAUCUUCACCGAAACCUAUACCUUUUUGGGGGUAUUAUUUCUUGGUUUUUUUUUUUUUUUAAUAUUUUCGAUUAAUGGUACUUGGGCACAAAGAAAUCAAUGAUAACGAGGUGCAUAUUGGGUGAUUAGUUGUAUUUUGGGACAUAUAAAUUUUAAAUUUCAGAUUGAAAUCAAUGAUAACUAGCUGCUGCAUAUUGGGGAAGUCCGUCCACACCAUUGAGUGGAGCCUGGAGGUAUGAUUUUAAUUACUUUGAUGAUUUAUGGCGAUGGCGUUAAUUUUUAUUAUCAAAAUGGAACUAAAUGAUACAUCAUGCUCAAGUGUAACAUGACCUGGAAUUCCAAAUGUUGGGGUUUGAGAAGAUGACUAGAAUAGUUCACUGGAAUGGUGGUAAAUGCAAUAUUUGGUUUUUGCAAGUUUUAUUUGUGGAUUAAUGUUGUUUUACAUGUUUGUUUGUUUUGCAAACCAUGAUGUAAUAUACUUUUAAGUAGAUUAUUUGAGGUGUAAUUGUGAAUGGUAUAGUUUAAAUAUUAUUGUUUUA